AGUGAACGCUGGCGGUAGGCCUAACACAUGCAAGUCGAACGGCAGCACAGUAAGAGCUUGCUCUUACGGGUGGCGAGUGGCGGACGGGUGAGGGAUACAUCGGAAUCUACUUUUUCGUGGGGGAUACAGUAGGGAAACUUACGCUAAUACCGCAUACGAACUACGGGUGAAAGCAGGGGAGCUUCGGACCUUGCGCGAUUGAAUGUGCGCAUGUCGGAUUGGCUAGUUGGCGGGGUAAAGGCCCCCCAAGGCGACGAUCCGUAGCUGGUCUGAGAGGAUGAUCAGCCACACUGGAACUGAGACACGGUCCAGACUCCUACGGGAGGCAGCAGUGGGGAAUAUUGGACAAUGGGCGCAAGCCUGAUCCAGCCAUACCGCGUGGGUGAAGAAGGCCUUCGGGUUGUAAAGCCCUUUUGUUGGGAAAGAAAAGCAGCAGGUUAAUACCCCGCUGUUCUGACGGUACCCAAAGAAUAAGCACCGGCUAACUUCGUG
Molecule: ribosomal RNA, 492 nt
Filed under: uncultured bacterium
Lineage: Bacteria
Description: partial 16S ribosomal RNA
Rfam family: Bacterial small subunit ribosomal RNA
Source: RNAcentral